UGAGGAAUAUUGGGCAAUGCCCGCAAGGGUGACCCAGCAACGCCGCGUGGAGGAUGAAUGUCGUAAGAUUGUAAACUCCUGUUAGAGGGGAAGAAUAGUACCGGUUGGACCGGUAUAUGACUGUACCCUCAGAGAAAGCCCCGGCUAACUACGUGCCAGCAGCCGCGGUAAUACGUAGGGGGCAAGCGUUGUCCGGGUUUACUGGGUGUAAAGGGCGCGCAGGCGGGAUAAAAAGUCAGUGGUGAAAUCCUACAGCUUAACUGUAGAACUGCCUUUGAUACUUUUAUUCUUGAGUUCGGGAGAGAGAGACGGAAUUCCAGGUGUAGUGGUGAAAUACGUAGAUAUCUGGAAGAACACCAGUUGCGAAGGCGGUCUCUUGAUCCGACACUGACGCUGAGGCGCGAAAGCGUGGGGAGCAAACA
This 422-nucleotide ribosomal RNA is filed under the name uncultured bacterium. RNAcentral describes it as "bacterial SSU rRNA". It matches the Rfam family "Bacterial small subunit ribosomal RNA", at positions 355 to 774 of the family's 1533-position model. The record is from RNAcentral.